GACGAACGCUGGCGGCGCGCUUAACACAUGCAAGUCGAACGGAAAGGCCUGCAUUCCCUUUUGGUUUGCGGGUACUCGAGUGGCGAACGGGUGAGUAAUACGUGAGUGAUAUGCCCCCAACUUGGGUAUAAGCCUGGGAAACUGGGGCUAAUUCUCGAUAGGACUGCAGGGUGCUGCCUGGUGUGGGAAACGAUGUUCUAGUGGCUGGGGAUGAGCUUGCGGCCUAUCAGCUUGUUGGUGGGGUAAUGGUCUACGAAGGCGGCGACGGGUAGGCGGCGUGGGAGGGUGGAAGGCGGAAUUGGGACUGGGACACGCCCCAGACGGCGGCGGGAGGAGGCAGUGGGGGGUAAUGGACGAUAGGCGGAAGGCUGAAGCAGCGACGCCGCGAGGAGGUUGUCGGACUUCAAGAUGUAGUCUCCUUUCGACAGCGAGGAAGCCACCUGGUUGGACAGGUGGUGACGGUAGUGAUAGAAGAAGCACCGGCUAACUACGUG
RNAcentral lists this ribosomal RNA (494 nucleotides) under uncultured bacterium. Its description in RNAcentral is "partial 16S ribosomal RNA". It matches the Rfam family "Bacterial small subunit ribosomal RNA", at positions 28 to 507 of the family's 1533-position model. The record is from RNAcentral.